GAGUAUCCAUACUUCUAUUCUAAUAAACUGUGUCUUUUGUAGUUUGAUGGUAUCCAUGUGGUGAGUGGAUCUCUUGAUACAUCAAUCCGUGUUUGGGAUGUGGAGACAGGGAAUUGCAUUCACACGUUAACAGGGCACCAGUCGUUAACAAGUGGAAUGGAACUCAAAGACAAUAUUCUUGUCUCUGGGAAUGCAGAUUCUACAGUUAAAAUCUGGGAUAUCAAAACAGGACAGUGUUUACAAACAUUGCAAGGUCCCAACAAGCAUCAGAGUGCUGUGACCUGUUUACAGUUCAACAAGAACUUUGUAAUUACCAGCUCAGAUGAUGGAACUGUAAAACUAUGGGACUUGAAAACGGGUGAAUUUAUUCGAAACCUAGUCACAUUGGAGAGUGGGGGGAGUGGGGGAGUUGUGUGGCGGAUCAGAGCCUCAAACACAAAGCUGGUGUGUGCAGUUGGGAGUCGGAAUGGGACUGAAGAAACCAAGCUGCUGGUGCUGGACUUUGAUGUGGACAUGAAGUGAAGAGCA
RNAcentral lists this small RNA (528 nucleotides) under Pan troglodytes (chimpanzee). RNAcentral describes it as "retained intron". RNAcentral also lists the same sequence under 1 other name. Lineage: Eukaryota; Metazoa; Chordata; Mammalia; Primates; Hominidae. The record is from RNAcentral.